RNAcentral lists this long non-coding RNA (905 nucleotides) under Triticum aestivum (bread wheat). Its description in RNAcentral is "long non-coding RNA (TAES_LNC016774)". Lineage: Eukaryota; Viridiplantae; Streptophyta; Magnoliopsida; Poales; Poaceae. The record is from RNAcentral.
AAUUAUUAAAAUGGACAACUGCAAAAUUGCAGGUAGAGAACCUGAAAAUUUAUUCAGAGAUAACCAUCAUUAGGUACAUAAUGCUCUGACAAAAGCAUAAGCGGUGGAGAUAACACAAAACAGAGCAAUACAACUUGGGACUGCGAGCUACACACGGGUCCUUACUACAGACUAGAAUUAGCAAAUUAACUACUAGUCGGCUCUCCUUAUUACAUAGCUCUUGAACUAAAGUAACUGCUGUGCUGCACGAAGAUUAAGUACAGCAUAGCCAUCACAAGAACCAGGUUGGUUCCAGCCAACAGCAGCGCCGUGCAUUGGCUGUCCGUCGAUCAGCAGUGCGGUACAACACCGGCGGGGUUAGCUUGCUGCAUCUGUGGCUGGGCACGCAUGAGCUGAUUGGAUCUCUGCCUGGCUGCCGUCCACCAAAGUGUGUUCUCACCUGGAUCUCUGCUGAAGGGGAGCGGAUGGAUGCACGGCUAGAGGCUGAUGCAGUAAGUACGGCUGGGACAAGCCGUCCCUAGUCAGCUCCGACAGGUACGUAUCCCUGGAUCUCAUGAACUGUCAUAACCCAGCCUGCAUGAUGCGUGCUGAUCUUCAGAAAGGGGAUCCGGAUGCGAAAAUUGAAAUUUGCUGGCAAGGAGGACUUACAUCUUUCCUGACGCAUUUGUAGAAGCGUGCUCCGGCUCGGGAGAUGAAGGUGACCACCUUGUGGCCACAGGUUGGGCAUGGAAUCAGCAGGAGAACCUCCCCUGGCUGCGAAGAAGAAGACGAGGUAGUCAUCGUUCCCGAUCUGGUCCUUGCCGGUGAGGUUGAAGAUCAGGCGUGGGGGACAGCGGGGGAGGAAUGUUCGAGAGGAAGGCCAAUUUGGAGGCACGCCGUUUCUUGUGUAACGUCUGAGCCGUGGC